UGGCGGACGGGUGAGUAACGCGUGGAAAACCUGCCGUAUACUGGGGGAUAACACUUAGAAAUAGGUGCUAAUACCGCAUAAGCGCACAGCUUCGCAUGAAGCGGUGUGAAAAACUCUGGUGGUAUACGAUGGUUCCGCGUCUGAUUAGCUAGUUGGUGGGGUAAUGACCUACCAAGGCAACGAUCAGUAGCCGGCCUGAGAGGGUGAACGGCCACAUUGGGACUGAGACACGGCCCAAACUCCUACGGGAGGCAGCAG
RNAcentral lists this ribosomal RNA (258 nucleotides) under uncultured bacterium. RNAcentral describes it as "partial 16S ribosomal RNA". It matches the Rfam family "Bacterial small subunit ribosomal RNA", at positions 96 to 354 of the family's 1533-position model. The record is from RNAcentral.